GGACGGGUGAGUAAUACAUGGGAAUCUGCCUGGUAGUGGGGGACAACAGUUGGAAACGACUGCUAAUACCGCAUACGUCCUACGGGAGAAAGCAGGGGACCUUCGGGCCUUGCGCUAUUAGAUGAGCCCAAGUCGGAUUAGCUAGUUGGUAGGGUAAAGGCCUACCAAGGCGACGAUCCGUAGCUGGUCUGAGAGGAUGAUCAGCCACACUGGAACUGAGACACGGUCCAGACUCC
This 236-nucleotide ribosomal RNA is filed under the name uncultured bacterium. RNAcentral's name for it is "partial 16S ribosomal RNA". It matches the Rfam family "Bacterial small subunit ribosomal RNA", at positions 100 to 339 of the family's 1533-position model. The record is from RNAcentral.